RNAcentral lists this unclassified non-coding RNA (354 nucleotides) under Hevea brasiliensis (rubber tree). Lineage: Eukaryota; Viridiplantae; Streptophyta; Magnoliopsida; Malpighiales; Euphorbiaceae. The record is from RNAcentral.
ACCCAAAAAAAAAAAAAAAAAAUCCUAAUUUUAUAAUAAAAGGAAUUGAAAUCAGGAAUCUGAUUUUUAUGUAGGUUGCAUGUGAUGCCUCUAUUUGGGCCUCAUUUGGAGGACAAGAUGUAGAACGUCUUCCAUCAGCUUCUACAUGCUACAAUACUCUCAAGGUAGUAUUAAUGCAAGACUCGGGGCUGACAACAUCCAGCAUCUUUUAUCUAAGUUUCCUGUCAAAAUGCGUGUGUGAGGAUGUGUGUGUAUCAUAUAUCUAAUCUUGGUCAUUCCUGUGUUUUCUUGAUCUUUGGAUGACUAUAGCUUCCAACAUACAAACGAGCGAGCACUUUGAGAGCAAAACUUCUA